Long non-coding RNA from Prosopis cineraria, 1584 nucleotides. RefSeq lists it as uncharacterized. The record is from RefSeq and is a predicted model, not a curated record. The transcript is spliced from 6 exons. NCBI's taxonomy places the organism in Eukaryota, Viridiplantae, Streptophyta, Magnoliopsida, Fabales, Fabaceae.
GGCAAGCCGCUCCUAAAACACGGCUCCAGACACUAAACAUUGUUCAUCAGCUCUAUGAACAGUACCUAGCUUUAGCUACAGUGUCAGCUUCACACCAUCAACGCACGGCUGAGGGGAGGUUUAAUUAAUACAUGGAUCUGGGAGAAGAUUUUUUACAAGACUUCCUUGCCUAUUUUGUACGGCAUUAUCAUCAUUUUUCAGAGGGCAAUAGCACUCGGCUUUUGACUUCUCCUACAAGCCUAAUCGCUCAACCACACAAAACCAGAAUCAUUUGUUUUCCUAGCCAUUUGCUUUGUCUCGGCAUCCUCACUUCUCCUAUAAGCUCAAUCACUCAACUCACAUUUGAGGAAAGGUUCUCUAAUUCUCCCGACUCCAACCACUGCUUCUGCCAAGCCACAGAUCCUCUGAUUCCUCUGACCACCUCUUCCUUUACUGUAGGGAUCAAGGAUUGAUGUUGAAUUAUGGUGAAGAGAAGGAGAAAUGAUACGUAUUCUUUUAGAAGAAAGAGACAGAAUAAUCAACCUCAAACUAUAGGAGUUGCUGCCAUUGGCAUUGCUAGAGCAAGGAACCAAAGAGUGAUACAGAAGGAAUAAUUGAGCUCAAUAACGGUGACCUAGAACUAAUGAAGAUGGGAUUGGUGGUGCUUAAUAUGUUUAAAGCAUUGACUCCCUGCAGACCCACAAGCACGGUGGUGAUGAUGAAGAAGAAUAACAACUGAACUAACACCACAUGGAGUUGAGAUUAGUGCUGGAUAUCCACAAUCUUUGGAAGUAGUAGACUGAACGGAGUUAAAGAUGAAGAGAAAGAAUGAGGGUUCAGAUGAUCUUUCCAUAAAGAGCUCAGAUCUUUUUGUACUUGAGGGAUUUGUUAUUCAACUAGAGUCCAGCCAAAAGAAGUGCAAUGUACUAGCAGGGGCAUCUCACCAGUAGAUUUCGAGCUGCCUUUUGUCAUUAUUUAAAUUGAAACUAAUGUAUGCUUACAACUGGCGAUAUAUAUAUAUAUAUAUAUUUAUAUAUCCAUUGAUAGGAUGUCUUUUUAAAGGAUGGCGAUAUGGAAGGACACCUUGAGCAUUGUGCAAUGAAAUCUGUAACCUAUGCAUUGAUUUUUUGCUUUUCCUAUAUCAUAAAUAAUAUGAUAGCAUGCAAUAUAUUAAGGUUACAUAGUUUAUCCAUCAGUUAGUUUCUAUUGCACAAUAAUAUUUUUCUGUUUGCUUUUUAAAAAAGGUCCCAUCAGCCUGUUUUGCCCUCUUUCAUGGUUCGUAUUUGAUACACAGGACUUAACUCAUUACAUUGUAUCAAUGGAUGGGCUGAUCUCACAUGUUCUCUUGCCUAUUUUGACCAGGACAUGCUUCAAAUUACACUGAUAUUCUUGCAUGUUCCUACCUCGAUUCCAUUGAUGCAUUGCUGGAUUUGUUUUCUUCUCUCAGUUUGUUCUUUCCAAUAUUUAUCUGUUGUUUUGAUUGGCAUCAUGACUCGUGACACAAAAGUUCCUCUUCAACUUUGUUUGGUGAUAUAAAUAGGCAAGUUGCUUUUUGUAAGCCAUUAAAGAAAAAAUGAGAAAGACUAAAAGGAUGCUGUGUGAGUA